GGGGCUGCAUUGGUUUCGACGUGGGUUCGGGACCGCAGUGGUGCAUGUCGAGCUGAAUGCGCUCGUAAAACAGAUUCAAACAAACUAACUGCAAACGACGAACGUUUCGCACUCGCAGCCUAAUCGCUGCGAGCCUUGCAACAGUCGGCCGAUGGGCUGGGCAAGGGGGCGUUAGAGCAAUCUGACGCCUCCCGGCUGCAAGGUUAAUCACAUUGGCUGGCGGCGGUCCGUGCACCUUGGGCCGCCGCGAGAUUCAAGGGUGCUGGCAACCGGCAAAGCGUGCGUCUGCGCGUUGCCGGUGGCGAGAUCCAAAACAGAGCGCUAAACAUGUAGAUCUGCGCGGCGAAGGCUUGCGGACGGGGGUUCAAAUCCCCCCAGCUCCACCA
Pseudacidovorax intermedius is the source of this 386-nucleotide non-coding RNA. It matches the Rfam family "transfer-messenger RNA". Rfam says of the family: Bacterial tmRNA, also known as 10Sa RNA or SsrA, is named for its dual tRNA and mRNA-like properties. Its role is to liberate the mRNA from a stalled ribosome. The record is from Rfam. NCBI's taxonomy places the organism in Bacteria, Pseudomonadati, Pseudomonadota, Betaproteobacteria, Burkholderiales, Comamonadaceae.